RNAcentral lists this ribosomal RNA (587 nucleotides) under Cryptosporidium andersoni. RNAcentral describes it as "SSU rRNA". It matches the Rfam family "Eukaryotic small subunit ribosomal RNA", at positions 456 to 1080 of the family's 1831-position model. Lineage: Eukaryota; Apicomplexa; Conoidasida; Eucoccidiorida; Cryptosporidiidae. The record is from RNAcentral.
ACAGGGAGGUAGUGACAAGAAAUAACAAUACAGGGCCUAACGGUCUUGUAAUUGGAAUGAGUGAAGUAUAAACCCCUUUACGAGUAUCAAUUGGAGGGCAAGUCUGGUGCCAGCAGCCGCGGUAAUUCCAGCUCCAAUAGCGUAUAUUAAAGUUGUUGCAGUUAAAAAGCUCGUAGUUGGAUUUCUGUUGUAUAAUUUAUAAUAUUACCAAGGUAAUUAUUAUAUUAUCAACAUCCUUCCUAUUAUAUUCUAAAUAUAUAGGAAAUUUUACUUUGAGAAAAUUAGAGUGCUUAAAGCAGGCAACUGCCUUGAAUACUCCAGCAUGGAAUAAUAAGUAAGGACUUUUGUCUUUCUUAUUGGUUCUAGGACAAAAGUAAUGGUUAAUAGGGACAGUUGGGGGCAUUCGUAUUUAACAGCCAGAGGUGAAAUUCUUAGAUUUGUUAAAGACGAACUACUGCGAAAGCAUUUGCCAAGGAUGUUUUCAUUAAUCAAGAACGAAAGUUAGGGGAUCGAAGACGAUCAGAUACCGUCGUAGUCUUAACCAUAAACUAUGCCGACUAGAGAUUGGAGGUUGUUCCUUACUCCUU